GCCUCUCCUCUCGGCCCGUCUGGCCUCGGGCCGCUUUCGCCGCACCCCUGGAGGAGGCGGCUGAAAGAUGAUACUUGAAUUACUUGAAUUUAAGCUUGCCGCUUUUACUUAUCAGUGUAUUCUCAUGUACGCUUGUAAAAGAAAUAUUUUCAGCCCAUUUCUUGUUUCCUGGUUACCUUGUUUGCCGGUUUUUUUCGUGUGUCAGUGUUACGGUCAUAAUUGUCCAAUGUGCUGAGGAAAGGAAGAUUCAGAUUAGCUAUUAGAAAACAUAUUUUCAUUAUUCGAGUGUUCAGGCAUUGCAAUGGGAUGCCCAGCGAGGUGGCCGAGACACCAUUCCUGGAGCUGAGGCAUCCAAACCUGGCAUUGUGUGAUGCAAUUUAACUUGCAGCCCCUGGUACAUGCGUUUAGAAAGUGCUUAUGACUACAGUUGCUUUUGCAGUCUCUUUUAGGACAGUCUAAUUUUAAAAUAUUUUUGGCAUACAUUUAAUACAAGAAAUCUCAGCAAGUUUCCUAGUAUCUUUUAAACAAUGUAGGUAACACAUAUUUCUUAGUUCCAGAUGCAGUUCCUAAACUUCAGGCAAUGCUUAAAUUGCUGAAGAAAUACUAAAAUGUGAGACAAACGGAAAGGAGAUGUAUAUGAUAGUGUGGGAACAAGAAGUUUACAAGGCUGCAGGAGGAGGCUGGACAAGUACAUGAAAGUACAAGUAACAAAAUUCAAGGAAGGUUCUUGUUGGCCAGAAUGUGCCUGCUUUCUGGGAUGCUGGGGACUGUGAAGGUAUUUUUUCUUUCUAGCUCUUGCUUUUUGUCCCUGAAUAUGAGAACAAGGCUGGGAGGACUUAUUUCAGCCAUUGCUGAAAUGUCAGCAAUCUGCACAACUUGUGAUUUCUGAUUAACAUAUUUUUCUCUCCAGUUUUGUCUCAUUUUUGACUAACUGGGGGCAUAAAUGACAUGAUUAUGCCACACCUGAAGCAGCAAUUCUGUUGCUUAAUAGGAAUAAACUACUAUGAUGAACAUGAACAUGCUGUUACUUGUAGUAUCAUAAGUAAAAAUAAAGCAUUGGAAACAGCUCACUCUUUCUAUUUUAGACAAUGUUGCAGAAAUCUUAUUCUAUGGAUGCUUACCACAGGCAUCAAGUUUAGAGUGGCCAACAUGGCCAACUGAUUCUAUGAGUGUUCAUAAACGUAAGCACUCCUGAGGUUUCAUACCAUAAUUGAUAAAAUUGGUAACUGAACUUGACAGGUAAGUUGAUAUUUUCUGGUUUUUGUUUUUCAGUGAACCACUAUCUUUGUGUAGUUUUUUCCUCAAAAACUUUGUUUGUUCUAUGUAUGCUGAUAAGGAAUCUGAAUUUAAGAAGUACCUGAAAUCCAAGUGACAGCUGGAUUAAAAAAAGUAAAAAAUAAGAUAAAAGUCCUUUAUUUGCAUGGGAGUCAAAGAUUAAUCUGUACAAGUUUGGUAGUGAUAGGAGAUGCCCUUCCUCUGAUGAAUUCUGUUGCAAAAUUCUGUGCUCUCAUAAGAUAAAAUAUUGCUGUCAGUAUUGAGCUUACAAAGGUGAUGUCCCUCUUUAACCACCAUGGUCUUUUUACAGACAAGAGUAGACAGAAAGGGGAGCUCUUUAGUAACAUUUUGAGUUUUCUAGUAAAAAUAAAGACUUUUCACCAGGAGUAACUGAAAUACCUGAGCAGAUUCUUAGAUAGUAAAAGCUCUAAAGCUGCCCAACAUCAACGAGAGGUCUGUCCUGGAUGAAUUUCUCGCUUCUUCUUCUGCAUAUGUGGUAAUAUAUAAUAAUACUUAUGUGGUACAUAUGUCUGUGCCUUGCACCAUCUGUGUUACUGCUGUGGCUCCAUUCUCUGAUGUUUAUUAUCUUUUAGCAUGUAGCUUAUCGGUAUGUUAUUUAUUAUAAACCCCAGAACUAUGACUGCUGAAUUGAUUUGUUGUAUGAAUGUGCAUUGUCUGAUGCAUAUUUCAUUUUUGUUUCUCCCUGUGCAUAAACAGUAUACUUUUAUGAUUGUCUUUAAUUAGAGAAAGCCUCAGAUGUUCUGAUGCUUAUUGUUAUGGGAUUUUUCUAAAAAAAGAAAAAUUCUUAUGCCUAGGAGCAGCACUAGUAAUCAUAAUCAAGUCCACUAUGUUUUGGAGCAGGAGAGAAAUGGUGCCAGCAUUGCUGAGGUUUUAUGCUCCAUCAAUAACAGCAUAUGUGGCUUCAGCUAAGCUGCAGCAUGAAAUGCUACAGUUGCAAGAGUGAAAUAUAGCCAAGGCACAGACUGUACCUUCAGCUGUGAUGUGACUGGAGCGAUGUCCAUAUCCUUACAUGGGAAUAGUUGUGGUAGAUAAAAUGUUACUGGAAUGCCAUGACUGGAGGAUAUGUGGAGGAUAUGUGGAGGAUUCUGUCAUGCUUUUUUUUCGGUCAGUACUACAUUGCAAAGGAUGUGAGUUACUCAUGUCUUUGUACAGAAGAAAGAAAAGAGAGAGCAAUGAACACUAGAAGCUGUUUACAUGAAAUUUAGCACUUAAUGGCAGGAAAAAUGCAUAAUUUAAGAUUUAUUUAAGCUGGAUUUUUUUUCCUUUUAAUUUCAAAAACUAUGUAUUGUUGUUUUGGUUGGCAUCCUGACUUAACGGUGGAUAUGUUAACAGCCCCUAAGAAGCAGCUCAUCCAUAUGCUGAAGAAGACUGUGUGCUCAGUUUCCUGCAGAGUGCUGGAUGAAGCAUGGAAGCAGGCAGGCUGUGCAGCAAACUGAGACAUUCUGUGCCUCUGGUGCUACUGUGUAAUGCAAGAAAAUAAGAAGUUCCUUGUAUUUGAAUGGAGAUUGUUCCUGUUUGUGCAGCCAUUACUGUAUACACUGUCAGAAGAUUUGACUCCCUAUAUCUAAAAUUCAUCCAAAUCCUCUAAAAGUGACACAGGAGAUGUUGUAGACAAAAGUUAUACUUAGACCAAAAUAAAAACUAUCCAAAGAGUAAAGAAAAAUGGAACACGCAAUAGAAGUUUGUGGAAAAUUCCAGUCACUACCUGGAUCUGGAUACAAUUGGCAAAGAGGACAAAAGAACUAAUGGCAUGGAUUUAAUGGAUCAAGUUUCUCUUCUGCAGUUCAUCUCUUCAUUAAUGGCCCAUGAAAAGUGAAGACCAAGAUAUUUGGACCAAAGAGCUGCCAGAGACUAAACCAACCAUUACCUCUUGAAAGAUUGCAUCAUUGAUGCUUUAAAUUAAAGCUUUAUUGCCAUUGUAAAAUGUCUGUGAGUUACCCAGAGAAAAUAAAAUAUAUGGUUUUCAGAGAAUGGUCAUUAUUUUUCAGCUAAAUAAGAAAUGUCCUUUCCCCUUGGGAGCAGUGUGAAAUGGAGCCCUCUGUAGGUCUUCCUCAGCUAGAUUCCUGGCCAAAGCCUAUUCUGCCUUUUCCAUGCACAUCUGGUUCUUUGUUCCUUUUGAAAGAGGUGAAUCAAGGUUUGGGUCACAUCUGCAGGCCCUAUUCUAACAGUAAAAUAAAAAGAACCGUAUUUUUUUUAUGGAAGAAAGCAAUUUUCCAGCUGAUCUAAGAGAAAGAUGGGGGUUGUUUAGCCUGGAUAAAUGGAGACUUGGGGGGGACCUUACUGCUCUCCAAUCUACCUGAAAGAGUACCUAUUAUAGAUAGGUGGAGAUUGGUCUUUUCUCCCAUGUAACAACAAUUGGACAAGAGGAAAUGGCCUCGAGUUGUGCCAGGUUAGGUUGGAUAUUAGAAUACAUUUCUUCACUUAAAGGGUAGCAAAGCACUGAAAUGGGCUGCCCGGGGUAGUGAUGGCAUCGCCAUCCCCAAAAGUGUUCAAAAAGUGUAUGUAUGUGGUGUUUGGGGACGUGGGUAAGUGAUGGGCUUGGCAGUGGUGGCUUAAUGGUUGGGCUUGAUGAUCUCAGAGGUCUUUUCCAACCUCAGCAAUUCUGUGAUUCUGUGAUACUGUGGUUUAGUGGUGAACAUGGCAGUAACAGGUUAAUGUUUGGACCUGAUGAUAAAAGCCUUUUCCAACCUAAACAAAUCUGUGAUUCUCUGGCUCUGUGGUACAACCUUCUCCUGUGUCUAGCUUGGGGUGCCAUGGGAGAAAAAACCACUGCCUCAGGCUGCUGCAGGCCCACAGGGGUUUGGGUCAACAGUUUUUGGGCUACAGUUCCCUGACAGGACUGUUUGUGACUCAGUGACCACAGUGGGAGGCAGGGCCCAGCCUGUGGAGAGUGGCUGUUCAAGAACCAAACAUUUUUUGUGUGAAAGAGAUGGUAAUGUUUUAAUGAAGAUGCAGAGGUUUGGAGCUCCAUACUGUGACUCAGGAGCAUUCAGAUGUAGUUCAAAAUAUCAGUGUGCAAGGGAAAUACCUCAAUAAUUGCUGGAUGCAGUGGCACAGUCAGCUCCAAAGAGCUACUUCAUGCUGGACAAAAUGGCUCUCACAGGCACUCAAUCACAAGACUUCCUGUUUCUGAAUAACAGAAAUAUUCUCAGCUGAGAAAUUUGGUCACUGAUAGUAUCCUGGCAGCUUGAGAAACAGCCAUUUCUCUGUGAAUA
Long non-coding RNA from Parus major (Great Tit), 4511 nucleotides. RefSeq lists it as uncharacterized. Lineage: Eukaryota; Metazoa; Chordata; Aves; Passeriformes; Paridae. The record is from RefSeq and is a predicted model, not a curated record. The transcript has 3 exons.